RNAcentral lists this ribosomal RNA (537 nucleotides) under Scolia sp. KMP-2010. RNAcentral's name for it is "partial 16S ribosomal RNA". Lineage: Eukaryota; Metazoa; Arthropoda; Insecta; Hymenoptera; Scoliidae. The record is from RNAcentral.
GUCUUUUUGAAUAAUAAUUUAAAGUCUAUACUGCUCAAUGUAUAUUUUAUAAAUAGCUGCAGUAUUUUGACUGUACAAAGGUAGCAUAAUAAAUAGUCUUCUUAAUUAGGAACUAGUAUGAAAGUAUACAUGAAAUUUAAUUUGUCUCAAUUAAAAAAAUAAAAUUUAAAUUUUUAGUAAAAAUGCUAAAAUUUAAUUAAGGGACGAGAAGACCCUGUAGAAUUUUAUAAUUUAGUUAAAAUUUAUAUUUUUUUAAUAUAAUAAUAAAAUAUAUUAAUUAAAUUAUUUAACUGGGGCAGUUACUAAAUUAAUAAAAAUUUAAGUUUAAAAAAUUAAUUUUAAAAAUUAUUAACAUUUAUUUAUGAAAAUAAUGAAUUAAAUAUAAUAAAAAUAAUUAAAUUACCUCAGGGAUAACAGCGUAAUAGUUAUUUUAAAGAACUUAUUUAAAAUAAUGUUUGCGACCUCGAUGUUGAAUUAAGAUAAAAAUUAGGAGUAAAAGAUUAAUAUUUAAGACUGUUCGUCUUUUAAUAUCUUACA